UGGGUAGGGGAGCGUUCUGUAAGCCUGUGAAGGUGGCCUGUGAGGGUUGCUGGAGGUAUCAGAAGUGCGAAUGCUGACAUAAGUAACGAUAAAGCGGGUGAAAAGCCCGCUCGCCGGAAGACCAAGGGUUCCUGUCCAACGUUAAUCGGGGCAGGGUGAGUCGACCCCUAAGGCGAGGCCGAAAGGCGUAGUCGAUGGGAAACGGGUUAAUAUUCCCGUACUUGGUGUUACUGCGAAGGGGGGACGGAGAAGGCUAUGUUGGCCGGGCGACGGUUGUCCCGGUUUAAGCGUGUAGGUGUGUGUUCCAGGUAAAUCCGGUUCACUUUAACACUGAGGCGUGAUGACGAGGCACUACGGUGCUGAAGCAACAAAUGCCCUGCUUCCAGGAAAAGCCUCUAAGCAUCAGGUAACAUCAAAUCGUACCCCAAACCGACACAGGUGGUCAGGUAGAGAAUACCAAGGCGCUUGAGAGAACUCGGGUGAAGGAACUAGGCAAAAUGGUGCCGUAACUUCGGGAGAAGGCACGCUGACACGUAGGUGAAGUGAUUUACUCACGGAGCUGAAGUCAGUCGAAGAUACCAGCUGGCUGCAACUGUUUAUUAAAAACACAGCACUGUGCAAACACGAAAGUGGACGUAUACGGUGUGACGCCUGCCCGGUGCCGGAAGGUUAAUUGAUGGGGUCAGCGCAAGCGAAGCUCCUGAUCGAAGCCCCGGUAAACGGCGGCCGUAACUAUAACGGUCCUAAGGUAGCGAAAUUCCUUGUCGGGUAAGUUCCGACCUGCACGAAUGGCGUAAUGAUGGCCAGGCUGUCUCCACCCGAGACUCAGUGAAAUUGAACUCGCUGUGAAGAUGCAGUGUACCCGCGGCAAGACGGAAAGACCCCGUGAACCUUUACUAUAGCUUGACACUGAACAUUGAGCCUUGAUGUGUAGGAUAGGUGGGAGGCUUUGAAGUGUGGACGCCAGUCUGCAUGGAGCCGACCUUGAAAUACCACCCUUUAAUGUUUGAUGUUCUAACGUGGACCCGUAAUCCGGGUUGCGGACAGUGUCUGGUGGGUAGUUUGACUGGGGCGGUCUCCUCCUAAAGAGUAACGGAGGAGCACGAAGGUUGGCUAAUCCUGGUCGGACAUCAGGAGGUUAGUGCAAUGGCAUAAGCCAGCUUGACUGCGAGCGUGACGGCGCGAGCAGGUGCGAAAGCAGGUCAUAGUGAUCCGGUGGUUCUGAAUGGAAGGGCCAUCGCUCAACGGAUAAAAGGUACUCCGGGGAUAACAGGCUGAUACCGCCCAAGAGUUCAUAUCGACGGCGGUGUUUGGCACCUCGAUGUCGGCUCAUCACAUCCUGGGGCUGAAGUAGGUCCCAAGGGUAUGGCUGUUCGCCAUUUAAAGUGGUACGCGAGCUGGGUUUAGAACGUCGUGAGACAGUUCGGUCCCUAUCUGCCGUGGGCGCUGGAGAACUGAGGGGGGCUGCUCCUAGUACGAGAGGACCGGAGUGGACGCAUCACUGGUGUUCGGGUUGUCAUGCCAAUGGCACUGCCCGGUAGCUAAAUGCGGAAGAGAUAAGUGCUGAAAGCAUCUAAGCACGAAACUUGCCCCGA
Molecule: ribosomal RNA, 1595 nt
Filed under: Salmonella enterica subsp. enterica serovar Typhimurium
Lineage: Bacteria; Pseudomonadati; Pseudomonadota; Gammaproteobacteria; Enterobacterales; Enterobacteriaceae
Description: partial 23S ribosomal RNA
Rfam family: Bacterial large subunit ribosomal RNA
Source: RNAcentral